This 629-nucleotide long non-coding RNA is filed under the name Mytilus galloprovincialis (Mediterranean mussel). The record is from RNAcentral. Lineage: Eukaryota; Metazoa; Mollusca; Bivalvia; Mytilida; Mytilidae.
GGAAGGACUGUAAGGUGUACAUGUCCAACUGGCAGGUGUCAUCUGACCUUGACCUCAUUUUCAUGGUUCAGUGGUUAUAGUUAAGUUUUUGUGUUUUGGUCUGUUUUUCUUAUACUAUAUGCAAUAGGUCUACUAUAUUUGGUGUAUGGAAUGAUUGUAAGUUGUACAUGUCUAGCUGACAGGUGUCAUCUGACCUGUACCUCAUUUUCAUGGCUCAGUGGUCAAAGUUAAGUUUUUGAGUUUUGGUCUAUUUUUCUAAUACUUUAUGCAUUAGUCAACUAUAUUUGGUGUAUGGAAAUAUUUUAUGAUUUAUAUGUCUGUUACGCAGGUUUUAUUUGACCUUGACCUCAUUUUCACGGUCUAUUGCUAAGUGUUAAGUGUUUGUGUUUUGGUCUGUUUUUCUUAAUUUAUAAGCAAUAAGUCAACUAUAUUUGUUGUAUUGAAGAAUUGUUAGCUGUACAUGUCUGCCUGGCAUUGUUCAUCUGACCUUGACCUCAUUUAAUGGUUCAUUGAUCAAUGUUUCGUUUUCUUUGGUUAAUGUUGAGUUUAUGUGACAGUUGUAAUAAAGCUUUAUAUUUAGGUCUAUCAACAUAAUAUCAAUGAUUAGUAAAGAAGGCGAGACAUUUCAG